GCCUGGGUAGCUCAGUCGGUUGAGCGUCUGACUUCGGCUCAGGUCAUGAUCUCAAGGUUCGUGGGUUUGAGUCCCACAUCGGGCU
RNAcentral lists this transfer RNA (85 nucleotides) under Felis catus (domestic cat). It matches the Rfam family "tRNA". Rfam says of the family: Transfer RNA (tRNA) molecules are approximately 80 nucleotides in length. Their secondary structure includes four short double-helical elements and three loops (D, anti-codon, and T loops). Lineage: Eukaryota; Metazoa; Chordata; Mammalia; Carnivora; Felidae. The record is from Rfam by way of RNAcentral.